Molecule: ribosomal RNA, 475 nt
Filed under: uncultured organism
Description: partial 16S ribosomal RNA
Rfam family: Bacterial small subunit ribosomal RNA
Source: RNAcentral
ACUCCUACGGGAGGCAGCAGUGGGGAAUUUUGGACAAUGGGCGAAAGCCUGAUCCAGCAAUGCCGCGUGAGUGAAGAAGGCCUUCGGGUUGUAAAGCUCUUUUGUCAGGGAAGAAACGGUGAAAGCUAAUAUCUUUUGCUAAUGACGGUACCUGAAGAAUAAGCACCGGCUAACUACGUGCCAGCAGCCGCGGUAAUACGUAGGGUGCAAGCGUUAAUCGGAAUUACUGGGCGUAAAGCGUGCGCAGGCGGUUUUGUAAGUCUGAUGUGAAAUCCCCGGGCUCAACCUGGGAAUUGCAUUGGAGACUGCAAGGCUAGAAUCUGGCAGAGGGGGGUAGAAUUCCACGUGUAGCAGUGAAAUGCGUAGAUAUGUGGAGGAACACCGAUGGCGAAGGCAGCCCCCUGGGUCAAGAUUGACGCUCAUGCACGAAAGCGUGGGGAGCAAACAGGAUUAGAUACCCCUGUAGUCCCAUGAU